AUGUAAUUAUUUAUUUAGGUAGUAAUAGUUAUGUUCUUGAAACUUAAAAAAUUUGGCGGUAUUUUAGUCUAUUCAGAGGAACCUGUUUUGUAAUUGAUAAUCCACGUUGGACCUUACUUAAGUUUGUUUAGCAAUUUAUAUACCGUUGUUAUUAAAAUAUUUUUGAGAAUAAUAAUAUUUAAUAAUUUAAAUAAAAAUUUAUAUCAAAUCAAGGUGUAGUUUAUAUUUAAGUAAUAAUGGGUUACAAUAAAAUUAUUUUAUGGAUAUAAUUAUGAAAAAAUUGUUGAAAUUGGAUUUGAUUGUAAAAUUAUAAAGAUUAAUAGUUUGAUUAUAGCUCUAAAAUAUGU
RNAcentral lists this ribosomal RNA (347 nucleotides) under Stiphrosoma fissum. RNAcentral's name for it is "partial 12S ribosomal RNA". Lineage: Eukaryota; Metazoa; Arthropoda; Insecta; Diptera; Anthomyzidae. The record is from RNAcentral.